Molecule: ribosomal RNA, 1605 nt
Filed under: Allobates grillisimilis
Lineage: Eukaryota; Metazoa; Chordata; Amphibia; Anura; Aromobatidae
Description: 16S ribosomal RNA
Rfam family: Bacterial large subunit ribosomal RNA
Source: RNAcentral
GCCAAACCUCUAGCCCCACUAAUUAUCAUUUAAAUCAGUUUAUUUAUUACACCAUAUCAAAACAUUUUUAUAAUUAAGUAAAGGCGAUAAAAAGAUUUUUUAGAGCAAUAUAAACAGUACCGUAAGGGAACGAUGAAAUAAAAAUGAAAUAAUUGUUAAGCACAGAAAAGUAGAGACUUCUCCUCGUACCUUUUGCAUCAUGGUUUAACUAGUCCCCCUUAGGCAAAAAGACUUUUUAGUCUAAUUUCCCGAACCUAGGCGAGCUACUUUAAGACAGCUUUUAGAGCCAACCCGUCUCUGUCGCAAAAGAGUGGGAAGAUCUUACAGUAGCGGUGAUAGACCAAACGAGCCUAGUGAUAGCUGGUUGCUUUUUAAAAGGAUUUUAGUCCACCUUAAAGUCACCCCUAUUUUCCCCCACAAAAAAUUUUAACUUUAAAGUAAUUCAAAUAAGGCUCAGCCUAUUUGAAAAAGGAUACAACCUACACCACUGGGUUACCCUGCCAACAAAAAUAAAGUAGGCUUAAAAGCAGCCACCUUGAGAAAAAGCGUCAUAGCUUACUCUAUUCUCUACACAUAAUGUCCAAAAUUUCCCUCAACCCUUCACCACCAAAAAGCAACUCUAUAUUUCUAUAGAAAAUUUUAUGUUAAAACUAGUAACAAGAAGUAGCCCUUCUCUAAAAUGUACUUGUACAUCAACACGGACCCCCCAUUGAUAAUUAACGUAUUUAAACCCACAGCAAACCCCCUUCAAGAAAACUCUGCUAUCACCAACGUCGCCCUGACACAAGAACAUUUAAAGAAAGAUUAAAAAAUAAAGAAGGAACUCGGCAAACAUUAGCUUCGCCUGUUUACCAAAAACAUCGCCUCCUGAUAACCUAUAAGAGGUCAAGCCUGCCCAGUGACACUGUUUAACGGCCGCGGUAUCCUAACCGUGCGAAGGUAGCGUAAUCACUUGUUCUUUAAAUGAGGACUAGUAUGAACGGCUUCACGAGAGCUGUGCUGUCUCCUUUAUUCAAUCAGUUAAACUAAUCUUCCCGUGAAGAAGCGGGAAUACCCAUAUAAGACGAGAAGACCCUAUGGAGCUUUAAACACUUCAAAACACUUGACCUACUUCAUCAAAAAUUCCCAAAACCUCUACUAAGCCUGUCACCCUGUUUAAAGUUUUAGGUUGGGGCGACCACGGAGAUAAACCUAACCUCCACGUAGAAAGAAACUUCUUUCCUAAGCAAAAAGCCACACCUUUAUGCAUCAACACAUUGACUUAAAUUGACCCAAUUACUUGAUCAACGAACCAAGUUACCCUAGGGAUAACAGCGCAAUCCGCUUUAAGAGCUCCUAUCGACAAGCGGGCUUACGACCUCGAUGUUGGAUCAGGGUAUCCUGGUGGUGCAGCAGCUACUAACGGUUCGUUUGUUCAACGAUUAAAACCCUACGUGAUCUGAGUUCAGACCGGAGUAAUCCAGGUCAGUUUCUAUCUAUAAAGAGCUUUUUCUAGUACGAAAGGACCGAAAAAACAUGGCCAAUGCCAAAAGUAAGCCAUCUUUUCUAAAUUAUGUUAUAACCUUAAUAACUAUUAACCCUGGCACUAACUUUAAGACCAAAACA